CCUACGGGCGGCAGCAGUAGGGAAUAUUGCUCAAUGGGGGAAACCCUGAAGCAGCAACGCCGCGUGGAGGAUGAAGGUUUUCCGAUUGUAAACUCCUUUUGUUAGAGAAGAUAAUGACGGUAUCUAACGAAUAAGCACCGGCUACCUCUGUGCCAGCAGCCGCGGUCAUACGGAGGGUGCAAGCGUUACUCGGAAUCACUGGGCGUAAAGAGCGCGUAGGCGGGAUAGCAAGUCAGGUGUGAAAUGCUAUGGCUUAACCAUAGAACUGCAUUUGAAACUGUUAUUCUAGAGUAAGGGAGAGGUAGGUGGAAUUCUUGGUGUAGGAGUAAAAUCCGUAGAGAUCGAGAGGAAUACUCAUUGCGAAGGCGAGCUGCUAGAACAUAACUGACGCUGAGGCGCGAAGGCGUGGGGAGCAAACGGGAUUAGAUACCCGAGUAGUC
Molecule: ribosomal RNA, 440 nt
Filed under: uncultured bacterium
Lineage: Bacteria
Description: partial 16S ribosomal RNA
Rfam family: Bacterial small subunit ribosomal RNA
Source: RNAcentral